RNAcentral lists this non-coding RNA (27 nucleotides) under Mus musculus (house mouse). The record is from RNAcentral. Lineage: Eukaryota; Metazoa; Chordata; Mammalia; Rodentia; Muridae.
UAGCAGUGAGGUCAAGGAAGAGGAAGC